CCCUUGUGUAGAUCAAUCUCUGAUAAUUUUCAUAUAACUUUACAUUGUGCCUCUUCGUAUAACCUUGUGGUGGGUCUACCCACGUGUGACCUCUGUUUUCAUGGGACUUUGUAUCAAAGCCUCAUUUAGAAACUUUGCAUUGCCCUUGGUAUAAUAUUAUAGCCCCUAAGGAUAGAAUAAGAUAGAAGAAAAAAUUCUUUUUGCUAGCAGUAAAACAAGAGCUCUCCCCGCCCCCACUCUUAAUCAAUUGCCCUGUUGAAUGAAUGAGGUGUGGAUGAGCAAGGCAUGGAAGGCAGCACCUCCAGCCAGCCUCAACUGUUGGAGAGGGGCUGGGAGCCAGACCCAAGGACAAUAAAACGUGUCAAGUGGGCUCAUUAAAGACAAGCAGACAUACCGACGGCCUCGGGGGUUAGAAGCAAGCACCUUCUUUUGGAAACACCCUCUUUGCAGCAUUGGGACAACACUCAAAAGAAAGCAGCACAAAGGACCAAUGGACACAGACACAGAGUCUGAAUCUGGUAUAGAUUUGCAUAAGAGGAAAGCUGCUAUAAAAGUGAGGUGUCUUGCAGAGGACCCCAGGUCUCGUCUUGUCAACAUGGGAGCAUCGAUCCGGAUCGGCAGAAGCCCGGCUCCACCCCCUCCCCCAUCUAACUCACCUGGCCAGUGAAGUUAAGGGGAGCAACUAAUUGGUAACAACAAGACGGAGUGUGUUUGUGUGUGUGUGUGAGUGGUUACUGGCCCCGUGACGCUGUGGAAGUUGUAGACUUGACAGAUCUUGAUUUUAGUAAUGCUUUUGACACAGUCCCACAUGAUCGUCUCAUAAGCAAACUAUGGAACUGUGAUCCAGAUGAAAUUACUAUAAGGAGUGUUGUAUGGAAGACACAGGAGGUCAUUGUCCCACUCUUCUCGGCUCUGGUGAGGUCUCAGCUGGAAUGUUCAGGUCUGGGUGCCGCACUUUCAGAAAAACGUGGAUAAGAUGGAGAGUUUCCAGAGGACAGCAACAAAAAUUAUAAAAGUUUUAGAAAACCUGCCCUAUGAGAAUAAUGGGCAUGUUUAGUCUACAGAAAAGAAGACUGAGGGGGAACCAGACAAUCAGAGAUCCUAGAAAUCUGUUUGCUGUGGAAAAAUGUGGAUUUUGCAUUUUUUACAGAGAAUCUUUAGUUUUUACAUUUUG
Malaclemys terrapin pileata is the source of this 1174-nucleotide long non-coding RNA. RefSeq lists it as uncharacterized. Lineage: Eukaryota; Metazoa; Chordata; Testudines; Emydidae. The record is from RefSeq and is a predicted model, not a curated record. The transcript is spliced from 3 exons.